UUUUUUGAGAGUUUGAUCCUAGCUCAGGAUGAACGCUGGCGGCGUGCCUAAGGCAUGCAAGUCGAACGCUUGUGCGUAGCACAAGAAUGAUAAAAAUACUACAAAUAAAUACCAAUAUGUACCAAUCAAUGAAAAAUUAAGAAUAUUUAAGUAUUUAAUAAUUCUCUCAUUGAUUUGAAAUUUGAAAUUGGUACUUAUUUGACAUUUGUCAUUCUCGCGCUGCGCGCGAGAGUGGCGGAAGGGUGAGUAACGCGUGGGAACGUACCUUUUGGUGGAGCAUAGCCUUCUGAAAAGAGGGGUAAUUCUCCGUAAGCCCGCAAGGGGAUAGGGUCUAACCACCCGCCGAAAGAGCGGCCUACGUCCUAUCAGCUUGUUGGUGGGGUAAUAGCCUACCAAGGCAAUGACGGGUAGCUGGACUGAGAGGUCGGUCAGCCACAAGGGAACUGAGACACGGUCCCUACAUCUACGGAUGG
Non-coding RNA from Candidatus Curtissbacteria bacterium, 473 nucleotides. NCBI's taxonomy places the organism in Bacteria, Candidatus Curtissiibacteriota. The record is from Rfam.